Molecule: ribosomal RNA, 152 nt
Filed under: uncultured eukaryote
Lineage: Eukaryota
Description: partial 18S ribosomal RNA
Rfam family: Eukaryotic small subunit ribosomal RNA
Source: RNAcentral
UGGUGGAUCGAUUUGUCUGGUUAAUUCCGUUAACGAACGAGACCUCAACCUACUAAAUAGUCUAUAGAACAUUGGUGGCAACACCUUGUUCUCACAAUUACUUCUUAGAGGGACUAUUCACACAAAGUGAAUGGAGGUUUGAGGCAACAACA